GACGAACGCUGGCGGCGUGCUUAACACAUGCCAGUCGAACGGGUCUGCCCUGUUUUUUGCGGGGUGGGUCAGUGGCGAACGGGUGAGUAACACGUUAGUAACCUGCCCCUCACUUCUGGAUAACCGCUUGAAAGGGUGGCUAAUACGGGGUGUUCUGGCUGUGCCGCAUGGUGUGGCUGGGAAAGGUUCACUUUUGUGGUGUUUUGGCGGGGGAUGGGCUCGCGGCGUAUCAGCUUGUUGGUGGGGUGUUGGCCUGCCUAGGCUUUGACGGGCAGCCGGCCUGUCAGGAUCGGCGGCCACCCCGUGACGGAGGUCCGGCCCAGCCUCCUGGGCGAGCACGCACUGAGCGGUAUUGCACAAUGGGCGGAACCCCGAUGCAGCAGCGUCGCGUGAGGGAUGGAGCCCUUCGGGUUGUGAACCUCUUUCGCCGGUGCAGAAGGUCCUGCUUUGUGUGGUGGUGUUGACGGUAGCCGGGUUAAGAAGCGCCGGCUAACUACGUG
RNAcentral lists this ribosomal RNA (500 nucleotides) under uncultured bacterium. Its description in RNAcentral is "partial 16S ribosomal RNA". It matches the Rfam family "Bacterial small subunit ribosomal RNA", at positions 28 to 507 of the family's 1533-position model. The record is from RNAcentral.